This is a long non-coding RNA of Diceros bicornis minor, 5089 nucleotides long. RefSeq lists it as uncharacterized. Lineage: Eukaryota; Metazoa; Chordata; Mammalia; Perissodactyla; Rhinocerotidae. The transcript is spliced from 2 exons. The record is from RefSeq and is a predicted model, not a curated record.
CCCAGCUCUGAUCCACCGCCCCCUGGUGGCCGCGCGGGGAGCCGCAGGGCCGCGCGCCCCCUUGUGCGACAUGUGCUGCUGGCCCGGGCUCCAUGAGCGUGGCGGGCACUUUGCAGUCUCGGGUGUUCCUGCUCCUUUUUCUGUUCCUAAGCCGGAGGAGAGGGGACGGGAACUGGGGAAGGCAGGCUCGUUUCUGCAAUAUCACCAAAAAAUCACAAAGAUUAGCAAAAUGCCGUCCGGACCUCAUCACUUGGGGAAACAACUCUUUAUCCCGGCUUGCAGCCACGAGGUCUUGAUUGGGGGAGGGGCGGUGAAGAAUAGUCCCUUUGCUGCUGCUUUUCGCUCUCAUUGGAGCCGUACAGCCGAGUUAACGAUUGCUGUUGAUCAUACUGGAGUAUUUCAGGUUUUUUUUUUAACAUAAGACACGAAUCUACUACUUGUGGGUGUUUUUAAACUUUAUUCUCUUACACAUUUUCACCCAUACAUUGUUGGUCUUUUAAACUCUGCUAGUAUUGCCUGGCUAUGUUAUCCUCGGUUUUGCAAAUGAAUGUAAUUAGUUGAUAUAAGGGGGUUGGAAAAGAGAAAAUUUAAAUAUGGAUUUGUAGGGUGGUAGUAAUUUUGAGCAAAUAUGUUUGUCUUUUUUCCCUAUGUCCCCCUCCCCCAUCCUAGUCAUACACGUGGACCUAACUGCACCAGAAGCUUUUCUAAGGAUACUUGCUGGAAAGGAAGUUUUCCCGAGUGGGUAAGUGUAUUCUAAUUUUUUUUGUUAACUUUUCUUAAAAACAGAUGUCUCUUGACUUGCAUAAAUAAGAUGGGAUUGGGUUUUCAAAGAGUGAAAUAGGUAUUUUGUACUUUGUCCAUUUACCUUUUCUAGAAAAUUAACUCCGUAUGGGUCAGCUAAUUUUUACGUUAGUAAAAGUACGGUGCAAAAAUCGUUAUAAAUCUUUGGAAACUGAUGCAGGGUUUACAAAAUGUAAUUUUAGAACUCCUUUAAAUUGGGUGAUAAAAUAGAUCUAAUCUGGAGUAAGUUUUCAGGGUUUAAAAUAAUUUAAACACAUAUUUAAGUUCUACAACCAGUUAAUGCACUUGAAAGGUAGUCUGAAGAGUAAUUUUAUUAAUCAGUUUACCAAGUAUUUGCUAAUUGGAAACCGGAAGAAAAGAAAAAUGUUUUGCCACGUGGAUGUGAAGAUUUCCUCUGAAAGGUACUUGAGUCAAAUUGCCCUGUUGAUAAAUUAGUUCUCAUUCAUAUGCGUCAGAUUUUCACUUUUUAAGUCAUGCCUUGGGGAAUGGCCUGGUAAAGGAAGAGCCACCACUUUGUCUUACAGUGUUAGAAUGAUGGUUAGUUAUGAUUGUCUUGUGAAAAAGAUUUUUCUUCUAAUUUUAAUGUCUAAAUGUGCUUCUAAAUGGAACUUGCAGGUUUAAGAUAAUUAAACUCAUUCUGCUUUCUACCAUUAGGGAUUAUGCUGGAUUUUGUAUGUUUUAUAGCUGUUAGAGUUUGAGGUGUUAUUCUGUCUAAUUAUUUAUUUCAAAUUUAGCAGGAAUACAGAGAACUUCACCUUGUAAAACUGAAGAUUGUGACCAGUCAGAAUAAUGUCAAAGUGCUUACAGUGCAGGUAGUGAUAUGUGCAUCUACUGCAGUGAAGGCACUUGUAGCAUUAUGGUGACAGCUGCCUCGGGGAGCCAAGGGGGGCUUUGAAGCGCAGGGCCUGCUGGUGUUGAGUGCUUUUUGUUCUAAGGUGCAUCUAGUGCAGAUAGUGAAGUAGAUUAGCAUCUACUGCCCUAAGUGCUCCUUCUGGCAUAAGAAGUUAUGUUUUCAUCCAAUAAUUCAAGCCAAGCAAGUAUAUAGGUGUUUUGAUAACUUUUUGUUUGCAGUCUUCUGUUAGUUUUGCAUAGUUGCACUACAAGAAGAAUGUAGUUGUGCAAAUCUAUGCAAAACUGAUGGUGGCCUGCUAUUUCCUUCAAGUGAUUUUUACUAAUUUUGUGUACUUUUAUUGUGUCGAUGUAGAAUCUGCCUGGUGUAUCUGAUGGUGACAGCUUCUGUAGCACUAAAGUGCUUAUAGUGCAGGUAGUGUUUAGUUAUCUACUGCAUUAUGAGCACUUAAAGUACUGCUAGCUGUAGAACUCCAGCCUCGGCCUGUCGCCCAAUCAAACUGUCCAGUUACUGAACACUGUUCUAUGGUUAGUUUUGCAGGUUUGCAUCCAGCUGUGUGAUAUUCUGCUGUGCAAAUCCAUGCAAAACUGACUGUGGUAGUGAAAAGUCUGUAGAAAAGGAAGGGAAAAUCAAACCCCUUUCUACACAGGUUGGGAUCGGUUGCAAUGCUGUGUUUCUGUAUGGUAUUGCACUUGUCCCGGCCUGUUGAGUUUGGUGGGGAUUGUGACCAGAAGAUUUUGAAAAUUAAAUAUUACUGAAGAUUCACCUUCUACUUUUAAAUGUUCCAGAGAUGUGAAAUAAAAAAUCUUUGUAAUUUUAAUUACUUUGUCACUGUAAAAAUCAUACAUACAACUCUUUGUUCCUUGAAAUCAAGGUUUAUCAUAUUUUUGUACUAAAACAUUCUACCUCUGAGGUUGCAUGUCAGAUUUGACUGUUAAGUUUUUAUUGUAUUUUUUUUGUCGAAUUAGAUUUAUUUCGUUAUCAAGUAUUUUAUUAUGAAUGUCUGUAAAGGAAAUUUACUUUAAUAAAUGACUGAUGAUAAUCUGUAAAGUUUGAGGAUAUGCUUUUUUGCUACCGGAUAUUUUACUUGAUCUAAAAGUUAAUUAAUAAGUCAUGUUACUUGUACAUUAUUCAAGUAUUUAAAUUUGGUGAAAAUGCUAUUCUGUUUAAAGCAAUGUGUAAAGAAAGUUUUUUUUUAUUUUUUAACACAUGGAAUUUACAUGUGGGAGGGGAGGUUGUGUUGUUUCUGGUAACCAAAUACUAUUUUACCAGUACUGGUGUUCUUGAUGUUAACUGGUUAUGUACUAGUUUUCAUAGUAAUUAAUGAUAUAUAAACUGUUAGUGAUCUGUAGACUGUUCUUUGCUUUCUGGAACUUAAAAAAUAUAAGUUAAAAAGAAAACAAGGCAUGCUGAUGAUAAAGGGAGUGACAGAUAUGUGUUAUGCAUACACAUCUGUAAUGCCAAGAGUGUUCCCUGCUGCCUUCAGAAACCACUUUCGCAAGGAUGACAGUUGGUUCUAGGCUUAUGUGACUUAUGUCACUGGAGGGGAACCUAAGAAGUGGCAGUUACAGUAUUUUUUCCAACAUUUCUGCCUUUUCUUUUCAUGUGUUUUGUCUCUAGCCUGGGUUUCAUAUGUGUGUAAAAAUGUGGGUUAACUUAAGAAGGAUCAGAUUUAAAAGGAUCAAUUGUUAAAUUGGACCCAAGCUGAAUUUUGGAGGAAAGAUGCUAUCUUAGUAAUAUGAAAUAAAUAUCUGUCACCUUAUUUGUUACACCACCUGAUAAAUUUAGAAAGCAUUUUUUAAAUAGGUUAUGUGAAGUCAAACAAGAAAAGUUUAACUUCUAAUGUAUCCCUUCUUUAAGAAAUUUAAGGAGUUUAAUUAUGGGUCCCUGAAUAGAAAGGUAAGAGUUUCAGUUAUGGAGUUGAUGAAAAGGUAAAUUUUCAGAAUGAGAAAAUAUUAAGAAUUAUGUAGUGAUUUAUGAAAUGGAAAUCUAAUUGUUCUUUGGUUUGAGUUCUUAAACCUUUUGAAUUGAAGGAGACCUGAAAAUUGUUUUGUUUUGGUUAUUUAAUGACAGACAUUGCUUUAAACUAAAUGUUGUAAAAGUCCCAUAUGUUAGCAUGGCUUAUAGUAGUCUGCAAAACUGCGCUGUGGUUAUAAGUGAGAAGAGUGAUGUUUACAUCUGUCAAACCAUAUAAAGCUUUUGGGGAAAUAGGCUUGUAUAAUUCUUUGAAGUGGAAGUGAUAAGAAGCAUGCCAGUUGAUUUCUGUAGUACACUAAAACGUAAGUCAAAUAAAUUUUAAAAACAAAACCUUUAGAAAAAUGGUUAACUGUUUCUCUCUAGAUACAGAACUUCUGUUGUAUUUGUGUUCAGAACUUAGUUGGACUUUAGCUGGGACUUAUAUCUAGUAAACAAGUUAAUAAGUGUGUAUGUUUUCUUGGGUUGGCAGUGAGGCUGAGGUUGUAUAGGGUUUAGUAGGAAUUGCAUUUUGUUUGUUUCUGGCUUUACAAUGUGGCAAAUUUUAUGUUCUUGAUCCUGUUAAGAUUUUCUUAGGCAUGACAACAUAGUAGUUUUCAAGUAGCACUAACAAAAUGCCAUGCAGGUUAGUUCUCAACUGAUUUUGUUGCCUGGAUGAAGCAAGGCUUUGCUUGUAAUAUUUUUUAUCACUAUUCUCUUUGUUUUUCCUCCAGAAUCUCAAAUCCCCGUCUUUGCCAACCCCAGCAGGUCGUGCGGUGCACACAGUGGCCCCUCAAGGAGGGGACUCAGGAGGCAUAUAAAGGCAAACCUGUCUAAGCAGAGCAAGCCAGACUUGGGUUUUUCCCUGUAGUUUGAAGAACCCUACAGAAUGAUUCCUGACAAAAUGCAACCUGCAACUGCCUGGAGAACAAUUCAUUGUCACAUCAAAGUUUAUUAUGUAUUUAAUGAAAUACUGUUCUCAGUAAUUCAUGACCCGGUGUAGUUUGUCUAUGAGAGAACUAGGAAUCUGAACUGAGCACUAAAGGUAAGGGGAGCUCAGUGUAAAGGCCAAUUUUUGGUGUCUGACUGGAAAUGAGAUCAUCAUGCCUGCUUGAGACUUUGCAGAUUGUCCUUUGCUUUAGAGGUUGUUUUACAGCUUACAUUGUGCUUAAAGUCUGAAUUAAUGUAGUUUUCUGUUUUGAUAAAGUUCAGAAUGUAAUAUUCUUAAUGAGUUUUAAAGGAUAACUAAGAUGGAUGUAUCUCCCGUGAAUUUGAAGACUAUGGAAAAAUUGUUAAAGAAGGUUUAGUUUUCUUUUUCCAAUAAUUUGAACACAGACAUAGCGUUCAGAGAUGCCUGCUUUUGUAUCUGCAAUUUAGGUAUGCUGUUUGUUUUAGUGCAUUUAAUGUAAAUAAAUUACGUGUUUUAAAAUUACUUGUUAAGAAAUUGUCCAGAAUGAGCAUAUUGAAAUAAAAAUCUUAAGGUUA